Molecule: ribosomal RNA, 439 nt
Filed under: uncultured bacterium
Lineage: Bacteria
Description: partial 16S ribosomal RNA
Rfam family: Bacterial small subunit ribosomal RNA
Source: RNAcentral
CUACGGGACGCACCAGUGGGGAAUAUUGCACAAUGGACGAAAGUCUGAUGCAGCAACGCCGCGUGGAGGAUGACACAUUUCGGUGCGUAAACUCCUUUUAUAUAAGAAGAUAAUGACGGUAUUAUAUGAAUAAGCACCGGCUAACUCCGUGCCAGCAGCCGCGGUAAUACGGAGGGUGCAAGCGUUACUCGGAAUCACUGGGCGUAAAGAGCGUGUAGGCGGAUAGAUAAGUUGGAAGUGAAAUCCUAUGGCUCAACCAUAGAACUGCUUCCAAAACUGUCUAUCUAGAAUAUGGGAGAGGUAGAUGGAAUUUCUAGUGUAGGGGUAAAAUCCGUAGAGAUCAGAAGGAAUACCGAUUGCGAAGGCGAUCUACUGGAACAUUAUUGACGCUGAGACGCGAAAGCGUGGGGAGCAAACAGGAUUAGAUACCCCCGUAGUC